This 492-nucleotide ribosomal RNA is filed under the name uncultured bacterium. RNAcentral's name for it is "partial 16S ribosomal RNA". It matches the Rfam family "Bacterial small subunit ribosomal RNA", at positions 29 to 507 of the family's 1533-position model. The record is from RNAcentral.
AGUGAACGCUGGCGGUAGGCCUAACACAUGCAAGUCGAACGGCAGCACAGUAAGAGCUUGCUCUUACGGGUGGCGAGUGGCGGACGGGUGAGGAAUACAUCGGAAUCUACUUUUUCGUGGGGGAUAACGUAGGGAAACUUACGCUAAUACCGCAUACGACCUACGGGUGAAAGCAGGGGAUCUUCGGACCUUGCGCGAUUGAAUGAGCCGAUGUCGGAUUAGCUAGUUGGCGGGGUAAAGGCCCACCAAGGCGACGAUCCGUAGCUGGUCUGAGAGGAUGAUCAGCCACACUGGAACUGAGACACGGUCCAGACUCCUACGGGAGGCAGCAAUGGGGAAUAUUGGACAAUGGGCGCAAGCCUGAUCCAGCCAUACCGCGUGGGUGAAGAAGGCCUUCGGGUUGUAAAGCCCUUUUGUUGGGAAAGAAAAGCAGCAGGUUAAUACCCCGCUGUUCUGACGGUACCUAAAGAAUAAGCACCGGCUAACUUCGUG